RNAcentral lists this ribosomal RNA (545 nucleotides) under uncultured Glomeromycotina. RNAcentral describes it as "SSU rRNA". It matches the Rfam family "Eukaryotic small subunit ribosomal RNA", at positions 548 to 1094 of the family's 1831-position model. The record is from RNAcentral. Lineage: Eukaryota; Fungi; Glomeromycota.
UUGGAGGGCAAGUCUGGUGCCAGCAGCCGCGGUAAUUCCAGCUCCAAUAGCGUAUAUUAAAGUUGUUGCAGUUAAAAAGCUCGUAGUUGAAUUUCGGGAUCAAUAUAUCGGUCGUGCCUUUGGUACGUACUAAUAUCAUUGAUUUCUCCUUUCUGACGAAUCAUGAUGUCAUUAAUUUGGUGUUAUGAGGAGUUAGGACUGUUACUUUGAAAAAAUUAGAGUGUUUAAAGCAGGCAUUAGCUUGAAUACAUUAGCAUGGAAUAAUGAAAUAGGACGUUUGACCCUAUUUUGUUGGUUUUUAGGAUCGACGUAAUGAUUAAUAGGGAUAGUUGGGGGCAUUAGUAUUCAAUUGUCAGAGGUGAAAUUCUUGGAUUUAUUGAAGACUAACUACUGCGAAAGCAUUUGCCAAGGAUGUUUUCAUUAAUCAAGAACGAAAGUUAGGGGAUCGAAGACGAUCAGAUACCGUCGUAGUCUUAACCAUAAACUAUGCCGACUAGGGAUCGGAUGAUGUUAAUUUUAUAAUGACUCAUUCGGCGCCUUACGGG